Molecule: long non-coding RNA, 506 nt
Organism: Rhinopithecus roxellana (golden snub-nosed monkey)
Lineage: Eukaryota; Metazoa; Chordata; Mammalia; Primates; Cercopithecidae
Exons: 3
Source: RefSeq, a predicted model, not a curated record
GGCCCCGCCAGAACACCCGGGCAGGUAUCAGGGACAGGGCAGGAUUCCAGCUUCAGCCUGUCUACCUCUGAAGCUCUCCUGAUCAAUACAUCAGAGAAGAUGACGGAGCCCUCCUGCCGCUCUUAGGGAGAGUCGCGUCGCUGCUGUCAUCGAUGCCGUGCUGGACCUCGCAGCGAUAGAUGCCUGAGUCGUUGGGGCGCAGCUCGCUCAGCGCCAGGGAGACAUCGGUGAGCGACGCUGGGUACGCAGGCAGUGCCACGCGGAACCGGUAGGCCUCAUUCACCUUGACGCGAACUCCCCGCGCCACCAGCACCUCUGCCUCCCGGCCCCCAGACAGGAAAGUCCACUUGACCCGCGGAGAUCCCAGCACGGCCCGGCGGCUCGGCGGCGGCCGCAGAACAUCUGCUAAAGCUGCAGGAGCCUGGGCCAGGACCAGGGCUGCCAGCAGGGGCAGGAGUAGCUGGGCCAUGCUGCAGGCUGACAGAAGGACACGAGAAGGAAAGAUG